GGGGAUUUAGCUCAGCGGUAGAGCACUUGCCUAGCAAGCACAAGGCCCUGGGUUCGGUCCCCAGCCCCG
This 69-nucleotide transfer RNA is filed under the name Rattus norvegicus (Norway rat). It matches the Rfam family "tRNA". Rfam says of the family: Transfer RNA (tRNA) molecules are approximately 80 nucleotides in length. The record is from Rfam by way of RNAcentral. Lineage: Eukaryota; Metazoa; Chordata; Mammalia; Rodentia; Muridae.